RNAcentral lists this ribosomal RNA (2990 nucleotides) under Salmonella enterica subsp. enterica. RNAcentral describes it as "23S ribosomal RNA". It matches the Rfam family "Bacterial large subunit ribosomal RNA". Lineage: Bacteria; Pseudomonadati; Pseudomonadota; Gammaproteobacteria; Enterobacterales; Enterobacteriaceae. The record is from RNAcentral.
GGUUAAGCGACUAAGCGUACACGGUGGAUGCCCUGGCAGUCAGAGGCGAUGAAGGACGUGCUAAUCUGCGAUAAGCGCCGGUAAGGUGAUAUGAACCGUUAUAACCGGCGAUUUCCGAAUGGGGAAACCCAGUGUGAUUCGUCACACUAUCAUUAACUGAAUCCAUAGGUUAAUGAGGCGAACCGGGGGAACUGAAACAUCUAAGUACCCCGAGGAAAAGAAAUCAACCGAGAUUCCCCCAGUAGCGGCGAGCGAACGGGGAGGAGCCCAGAGCCUGAAUCAGCAUGUGUGUUAGUGGAAGCGUCUGGAAAGGCGCGCGAUACAGGGUGACAGCCCCGUACACAAAAGCGCAUGUGCUGUGAGCUCGAUGAGUAGGGCGGGACACGUGGUAUCCUGUCUGAAUAUGGGGGGACCAUCCUCCAAGGCUAAAUACUCCUGACUGACCGAUAGUGAACCAGUACCGUGAGGGAAAGGCGAAAAGAACCCCGGCGAGGGGAGUGAAAAAGAACCUGAAACCGUGUACGUACAAGCAGUGGGAGCACCCUUCGGGGUGUGACUGCGUACCUUUUGUAUAAUGGGUCAGCGACUUAUAUUCUGUAGCAAGGUUAACCGUAUAGGGGAGCCGGAGGGAAACCGAGUCUUAACCGGGCGUUAAGUUGCAGGGUAUAGACCCGAAACCCGGUGAUCUAGCCAUGGGCAGGUUGAAGGUUGGGUAACACUAACUGGAGGACCGAACCGACUAAUGUUGAAAAAUUAGCGGAUGACCUGUGGCUGGGGGUGAAAGGCCAAUCAAACCGGGAGAUAGCUGGUUCUCCCCGAAAGCUAUUUAGGUAGCGCCUCGUGAAUUCAUCUCCGGGGGUAGAGCACUGUUUCGGCUAGGGGGCCAUCCCGGCUUACCAACCCGAUGCAAACUGCGAAUACCGGAGAAUGUUAUCACGGGAGACACACGGCGGGUGCUAACGUCCGUCGUGAAGAGGGAAACAACCCAGACCGCCAGCUAAGGUCCCAAAGUCAUGGUUAAGUGGGAAACGAUGUGGGAAGGCCCAGACAGCCAGGAUGUUGGCUUAGAAGCAGCCAUCAUUUAAAGAAAGCGUAAUAGCUCACUGGUCGAGUCGGCCUGCGCGGAAGAUGUAACGGGGCUAAACCAUGCACCGAAGCUGCGGCAGCGAACGUAUCACCCAAGACAACUUUACGGAGUUGACGAUUGACGGAGCGAAGCGACGUCAAAGCGUUCAUUAAAGUCGAGUUGGCUUAGGGAUACGUUCGUUGGGUAGGGGAGCGUUCUGUAAGCCUGUGAAGGUGUGUCGUGAGGCAUGCUGGAGGUAUCAGAAGUGCGAAUGCUGACAUAAGUAACGAUAAAGCGGGUGAAAAGCCCGCUCGCCGGAAGACCAAGGGUUCCUGUCCAACGUUAAUCGGGGCAGGGUGAGUCGACCCCUAAGGCGAGGCCGAAAGGCGUAGUCGAUGGGAAACGGGUUAAUAUUCCCGUACUUGGUGUUACUGCGAAGGGGGGACGGAGAAGGCUAUGUUGGCCGGGCGACGGUUGUCCCGGUUUAAGCGUGUAGGUGUGUGUUCCAGGUAAAUCCGGUUCACUUUAACACUGAGGCGUGACGACGAGGCACUACGGUGCUGAAGCAACAAAUGCCCUGCUUCCAGGAAAAGCCUCUAAGCAUCAGGUAACAUCAAAUCGUACCCCAAACCGACACAGGUGGUCAGGUAGAGAAUACCAAGGCGCUUGAGAGAACUCGGGUGAAGGAACUAGGCAAAAUGGUGCCGUAACUUCGGGAGAAGGCACGCUGACACGUAGGUGAAGUGAUUUACUCAUGGAGCUGAAGUCAGUCGAAGAUACCAGCUGGCUGCAACUGUUUAUUAAAAACACAGCACUGUGCAAACACGAAAGUGGACGUAUACGGUGUGACGCCUGCCCGGUGCCGGAAGGUUAAUUGAUGGGGUCAGCGCAAGCGAAGCUCCUGAUCGAAGCCCCGGUAAACGGCGGCCGUAACUAUAACGGUCCUAAGGUAGCGAAAUUCCUUGUCGGGUAAGUUCCGACCUGCACGAAUGGCGUAAUGAUGGCCAGGCUGUCUCCACCCGAGACUCAGUGAAAUUGAACUCGCUGUGAAGAUGCAGUGUACCCGCGGCAAGACGGAAAGACCCCGUGAACCUUUACUAUAGCUUGACACUGAACAUUGAGCCUUGAUGUGUAGGAUAGGUGGGAGGCUUUGAAGUGUGGACGCCAGUCUGCAUGGAGCCGACCUUGAAAUACCACCCUUUAAUGUUUGAUGUUCUAACGUGGACCCGUUAUCCGGGUUGCGGACAGUGUCUGGUGGGUAGUUUGACUGGGGCGGUCUCCUCCUAAAGAGUAACGGAGGAGCACGAAGGUUGGCUAAUCCUGGUCGGACAUCAGGAGGUUAGUGCAAUGGCAUAAGCCAGCUUGACUGCGAGCGUGACGGCGCGAGCAGGUGCGAAAGCAGGUCAUAGUGAUCCGGUGGUUCUGAAUGGAAGGGCCAUCGCUCAACGGAUAAAAGGUACUCCGGGGAUAACAGGCUGAUACCGCCCAAGAGUUCAUAUCGACGGCGGUGUUUGGCACCUCGAUGUCGGCUCAUCACAUCCUGGGGCUGAAGUAGGUCCCAAGGGUAUGGCUGUUCGCCAUUUAAAGUGGUACGCGAGCUGGGUUUAGAACGUCGUGAGACAGUUCGGUCCCUAUCUGCCGUGGGCGCUGGAGAACUGAGGGGGGCUGCUCCUAGUACGAGAGGACCGGAGUGGACGCAUCACUGGUGUUCGGGUUGUCAUGCCAAUGGCACUGCCCGGUAGCUAAAUGCGGAAGAGAUAAGUGCUGAAAGCAUCUAAGCACGAAACUUGCCCCGAGAUGAGUUCUCCCUGAGACUUAGAGUCUCCUGAAGGAACGUUGAAGACGACGACGUUGAUAGGCCGGGUGUGUAAGCGCAGCGAUGCGUUGAGCUAACCGGUACUAAUGAACCGUGAGGCUUAACCUU